This 1060-nucleotide ribosomal RNA is filed under the name uncultured beta proteobacterium. RNAcentral describes it as "bacterial SSU rRNA". It matches the Rfam family "Bacterial small subunit ribosomal RNA", at positions 8 to 966 of the family's 1533-position model. The record is from RNAcentral. Lineage: Bacteria; Pseudomonadati; Pseudomonadota; Betaproteobacteria.
AGAGUUUGAUCCUGGCUCAGAUUGAACGCUGAUGCUUUACACUGCAAGUCGAACGGUAACAGGUUAAGCUGACGAGUGGCGAACGGGUGAGUAAUGCAUCGGAACGUGCCCGGUCGUGGGGGAUAACGCAGCGAAAGCUGCGCUAAUACCGCAUACGAUCUGAGGAUGAAAGCGGGGGACCAAGGCCUCGCGCGAUCGGAGCGGCCGAUGUCAGAUUAGGUAGUUGGUGGGGUAAAGGCUCACCAAGCCGACGAUCUGUAGCUGGUCUGAGAGGACGACCAGCCACACUGGGACUGCUCACCAAGCCGACGAUCUGUAGCUGGUCUGAGAGGACGACCAGCCACACUGGGACUGCUCACCAAGCCGACGAUCUGUAGCUGGUCUGAGAGGACGACCAGCCACACUGGGACUGAACACGGCCCAGACUCCCACGGGAGGCAGCAGUGGGGAAUUUUGGACAAUGGGCGCAAGCCUGAUCCAGCAAUGCCGCGUGCAGGAAGAAGGCCUUCGGGUUGUAAACUGCUUUUGUACGGAGCGAAAAGGCUCUCUCUAAUACAGGGGGUUCAUGACGGUACCGUAAGAAUAAGCACCGGCUAACUACGUGCCAGCAGCCGCGGUAAUACGUAGGGUGCGAGCGUUAAUCGGAAUUACUGGGCGUAAAGCGUGCGCAGGCGGUUUUGUAAGACAGGCGUGAAAUCCCCGGGCUCAACCUGGGAAUGGCGCUUGUGACUGCAAAGCUGGAGUGCGGCAGAGGGGGAUGGAAUUCCGCGUGUAGCAGUGAAAUGCGUAGAUAUGCGGAGGAACACCGAUGGCGAAAGGCAAUCCCCUGGGCCUGCACUGACGCUCAUGCACGAAAGCGUGGGGAGCAAACAGGAUUAGAUACCCUGGUAGUCCACGCCCUAAACGAUGUCAACUGGUUGUUGGGUAUUUACUUACUCAGUAACGAAGCUAACGCGUGAAGUUGACCGCCUGGGGAGUACGGCCGCAAGGUGAAACUCAAAGGAAUUGACGGGACCCGCACAAGCGGUGGAUGAUGUGGUUUAAUUCGAUGCACGCGAAA